This 500-nucleotide ribosomal RNA is filed under the name uncultured bacterium. RNAcentral describes it as "partial 16S ribosomal RNA". It matches the Rfam family "Bacterial small subunit ribosomal RNA", at positions 30 to 523 of the family's 1533-position model. The record is from RNAcentral.
AUUGAAUGCUGGCGGCAUGCCUUACACAUGCAAGUCGAACGGCAGCACGGGAGCAAUCCUGGUGGCGAGUGGCGAACGGGUGAGUAAUAUAUCGGAACGUGCCCAGUCGUGGGGGAUAACGCAGCGAAAGCUGUGCUAAUACCGCAUACGAUCUACGGAUGAAAGCGGGGGAUCGCAAGACCUCGCGCGAUUGGAGCGGCCGAUAUCAGAUUAGCUAGUUGGUGAGGUAAAGGCUCACCAAGGCGACGAUCUGUAGCUGGUCUGAGAGGACGACCAGCCACACUGGAACUGAGACACGGUCCAGACUCCUACGGGAGGCAGCAGUGGGGAAUUUUGGACAAUGGGCGAAAGCCUGAUCCAGCAAUGCCGCGUGCAGGAUGAAGGCCUUCGGGUUGUAAACUGCUUUUGUACGGAACGAAACGGUGAGCUCUAAUGCAGGGGGCUCAUGACGGUACCGUAAGAAUAAGCACCGGCUAACUACGUGCCAGCCGCCGCAGUAA